Molecule: non-coding RNA, 486 nt
Organism: Podarcis muralis (Common wall lizard)
Lineage: Eukaryota; Metazoa; Chordata; Lepidosauria; Squamata; Lacertidae
Source: RefSeq, a predicted model, not a curated record
UCCGCAUCCGCAAGGGUGGUGUUGAUGCCGGCGUUGUUCACCAGGCCCCAGAGCCCUGCAUGCCAAGAAGGAAACUGGCUUGCUGGUGUGAGACUCUGAGAAUCCUACACCUACCUUGCUUCUGUUCUGAUUGCCAACACUCUCAAGUUACCUGUCCUCACUGUCUGAGCCUUGAUGAACUGCAAGACUCUCUGGAUGUCCUCAGCUUUGGUCAGGUCCAUUUCCAGCAGGGUCAGGCGCGACGAGCAGCUCUGCCGAAGCUCCUCUGCGCCAGGACUCUUCAGAUCCAGGACACUAGCAUAGACGGGUGAACAGCAUGGAAAACUGACAUUCCAAAAAAUCACCAUUACCAAGGAAAGGUCAUGCAGUGGAUGGAAAACUGGAGGCAAACAAAGAUUCCCAAAAUUAGCACUGUGGUUCAUACUGGGUCAAGUUCUGCUGAACUAUCAGGGAAGAAUAAACUGAGUGACGCUAAAAGACAUGAAA